UUGCUCACUUCAGCAGCACAUAUACUAAAAUGGCACGAUAGGUAAAAGAUUAGCAUGGCCCCUAUGCAAAGACAGCAUACAAAUUUAUAAUCCUUCAUUUUUUUUU
Molecule: small nuclear RNA, 106 nt
Organism: Choloepus hoffmanni (Hoffmann's two-fingered sloth)
Lineage: Eukaryota; Metazoa; Chordata; Mammalia; Pilosa; Megalonychidae
Source: Ensembl